AGUGGCGGACGGGUGAGUAACGCGUGGGUAACCUGCCUUGUACUGGGGGACAACAGUUGGAAACGACUGCUAAUACCGCAUAAGCGCACAGCUUCGCAUGAAGCGGUGUGAAAAACUCCGGUGGUACAAGAUGGACCCGCGUCUGAUUAGCUGGUUGGUGAGGUAACGGCCCACCAAGGCGACGAUCAGUAGCCGGCCUGAGAGGGUGAACGGCCACAUUGGGACUGAGACACGGCCCAAACUCCUACGGGAGGCAGCAUG
RNAcentral lists this ribosomal RNA (261 nucleotides) under uncultured bacterium. RNAcentral describes it as "partial 16S ribosomal RNA". It matches the Rfam family "Bacterial small subunit ribosomal RNA", at positions 94 to 353 of the family's 1533-position model. The record is from RNAcentral.